RNAcentral lists this ribosomal RNA (465 nucleotides) under uncultured bacterium. Its description in RNAcentral is "partial 16S ribosomal RNA". It matches the Rfam family "Bacterial small subunit ribosomal RNA", at positions 28 to 507 of the family's 1533-position model. The record is from RNAcentral.
GACGAACGCUGGCGGCGUGCUUAACACAUGCAAGUCGAACGGAAAGGCCCCUUUGGGGGUACUCGAGUGGCGAACGGGUGAGUAACACGUGAGUAACCUGCCCUUGACUUCGGGAUAACUUCAGGAAACUGGGGCUAAUACCGGAUAGGAAUCCUUGCUGCAUGGUGGGGGUUGGAAAGCUUCGGCGGUUUUGGAUGGACUCGCGGCUUAUCAGCUUGUUGGUGGGGUAGUGGCUUACCAAGGCUUUGACGGGUAGCCGGCCUGAGAGGGCGACCGGCCACAUUGGGACUGGGAUACGGCCCAGACUCCUACGGGAGGCAGCAGUGGGGAAUACUGCACAAUGGGCGGAAGCCUGAUGCAGCAACGCCGCGUGCGGGAUGACGGCCUUCGGGUUGUAAACCGCUUUCAGCAGGGGCGAAGCUUGUGGUGACGGUACCUGCAGAAGAAGCACCGGCUAACUACGUG